This 490-nucleotide ribosomal RNA is filed under the name uncultured bacterium. RNAcentral's name for it is "partial 16S ribosomal RNA". It matches the Rfam family "Bacterial small subunit ribosomal RNA", at positions 28 to 507 of the family's 1533-position model. The record is from RNAcentral.
GAUGAACGCUAGCUACAGGCUUAACACAUGCAAGUCGCGGGGCAGCAUGGGGGUUGCUUGCAAUCCCCGAUGGCGACCGGCGCAUGGGUGAGUAACGCGUAUCCAACCUGCCCUUCACCACGGGAUAACCCGGCGAAAGUCGGACUAAUACCGUAUGUUGUCCAUUGACGGCAUCCGAUUUGGACGAAAGGUUUGGCGGUGAAGGAUGGGGAUGCGUCCGAUUAGCUGGACGGCGGGGUGACGGCCCACCGUGGCGACGAUCGGUAGGGGUUCUGAGAGGAAGGUCCCCCACACUGGAACUGAGACACGGUCCAGACUCCUACGGGAGGCAGCAGUGAGGAAUAUUGGUCAAUGGGCGUAAGCCUGAACCAGCCAAGUAGCGUGCAGGAUGACGGCCCUAUGGGUUGUAAACUGCUUUUAUGCGGGGAUAAAGUGGCCCACGUGUGGGUUUUUGCAGGUACCGCAUGAAUAAGGACCGGCUAAUUCCGUG